GGGCGCUUGGUUUAGGGGUAUAACGUUCGCUUAGCAUUCAGUGAUAUGUUUGCGAACGGUCCUGGGUUCGAUUCCCAGAGCGUCCA
Molecule: non-coding RNA, 86 nt
Organism: Hysterangium stoloniferum
Lineage: Eukaryota; Fungi; Basidiomycota; Agaricomycetes; Hysterangiales; Hysterangiaceae
Source: the annotation of a GenBank genome assembly